This 474-nucleotide small RNA is filed under the name Drosophila mojavensis. RNAcentral's name for it is "GI26360". The record is from RNAcentral. Lineage: Eukaryota; Metazoa; Arthropoda; Insecta; Diptera; Drosophilidae.
AUAUACAAUUAAUAUGACUUUGAAGUGUUCAAAAAAUUAAGUUUAUUAAAUUAAAACAAAAUAAUAUUAAUAAUAAAUUACCUGCCAGAUUGAUAGUUGAGCAUCUCUGCUUUGGAAAUGGCUCACGUAAAUACCGCAAAACUUGAGCCUGAAGGAUUGAGUGCAGCAGCAGGGCAAAGUGCUGAAAAGAGCCACAUUAUACGGUCAAUUGGGAACUGAUUGAGUUUGUCCUUGAGCUGGCGAUGCGAGAGCAGUCCGUCAGAGACUUGACCAGAUGCAGAUGGCUGACAGCGAGCUAAAAGCAGGUGAUCCAAUUUGGGUGAGCUUCGUACAUCGUCAAAGCCCUGUAACAGCAUCUAUGCAGACUCCAUGCUUGCCCCUGUUACGACAUAAAGGAUUGAGGCACAAACACCCUGAAAUCUGAAAAUAAUUUUGGAAAAAAAUUUCAAUUAACCUUGAUUUCUGAUUUGAAAA